This 520-nucleotide ribosomal RNA is filed under the name uncultured Glomus. RNAcentral's name for it is "SSU rRNA". It matches the Rfam family "Eukaryotic small subunit ribosomal RNA", at positions 569 to 1090 of the family's 1831-position model. Lineage: Eukaryota; Fungi; Glomeromycota; Glomeromycetes; Glomerales; Glomeraceae. The record is from RNAcentral.
AGCAGCCGCGGUAAUUCCAGCUCCAAUAGCGUAUAUUAAAGUUGUUGCAGUUAAAAAGCUCGUAGUUGAAUUUCGGGGUCAGUAGGUUGGUCGUGCCAAUGGUAUGUACUGGCUUCACUGAUUCCUCCUUCUUGAAGAACUGUAAUGUCAUUAAUUUGGUGUUGCAGGGAAACAGGACUGUUACUUUGAAAAAAUUAGAGUGUUUAAAGCAGGCUAACGCUUGAAUACAUUAGCAUGGAAUAAUGAAAUAGGACGUUUGACCCUAUUUUGUUGGUUUCUAGGAUCGACGUAAUGAUUAAUAGGGAUAGUUGGGGGCAUUAGUAUUCAAUUGUCAGAGGUGAAAUUCUUGGAUUUAUUGAAGACCGACUACUGCGAAAGCAUUUGCCAAGGAUGUUUUCAUUAAUCAAGAACGAAAGUUAGGGGAUCGAAGACGAUCAGAUACCGUCGUAGUCUUAACCAUAAACUAUAGCCGACUAGGGAUCGGAUGAUGUUAAUUUUUAAUGACUCAUUCGGCGCCUUA